UACACGCAACCGAGAAACCAGUGUGGGAGCCCCUCUCAAUUUCAACCGGUGAUUUUCCCAGAGAACUGUGCGUUUAACCCACCCGAUCCAAAAAAUACGUUUGAAAUAUUUCAUUUCGUUCCGCAAACACUAAUACAUAAUCACAAAUUUAUGUGUUUCGCUUGUAGCGUGUAAAAGAUUGAACGUGUGUGCGUGCUGGCCAAGCUGACGGCGCCGACACUUUUCUGACAGGUCUGCCAUUUCAAAAUUAGCUGUUGCUGAGAUAAGAGUGGCCAGCGAAACGGAUCAACAGCCGUGCGUCAUCGAGACCUCCUCUGCCGUGACCAGAACUCCGAGCCCGUGCCGUGACCAGCUACGUCGAGACCGUGGGCUAAGGCAGACGUCUUGCCAGAAUCACCAGUGGCCAGCAAAACGGAUCAACAGCCGUGCGUCAUCGAGACCUCCUCUGCCGUGACCAGAACUCCGAGCCCGUGCCGUGACCAGCUACGUCGAGACCGUGGGCUAAGGCAGACGUCUUGCCAGCAAAAUCAAUCAUGGCUGACGAAGCUGCCGUAGAAUUUCUACGAAAAUAUAACCUAGAACGUCUCGCAGAAUGUUUUGCGAAGGUUGGAGCUAAUCGAGAUCAUUUUCGCUAUUUGCGGAACAACCUUGUGGAGCUGAUGCUGAUACUUCCGGUGCUGGAUGAUAGAGCAAAGUUUGUUGAGGCAUUCGAUUCUGAAGAGGCAUCCGCAUCAGAUGCGAUUGAGGCCCCAUCACCCAGUGCUCCGUUGACAGUACGCGCUAAUUUAGAAACGAUAUGCCAAAUGAAUGAUGAAGGCAAAAAGUUUUGGCGGCAGGCGCAAGUUAAGUUUGGGAAGCCCGAAAGGGAGAUGCUUGCUCCGAUCAUAACUGCAUAUUUUUACAAAAUCGCGAGCGGUUCGAUUAACCAACAAAUGUUUAAUGAAAUGUUCGAAAUCAUACGCAGUCAGUUCCCGUCUGAAACGAACAAGCACAUUUGGUACGUCGGUGGUAACCACCCACAAGGCUUCCUUUACGAAAGUUAUCGACGUUUACAAACUAAAGCAAAACAAACAGGGCUUUCCGAAAAGUUUGCUGAUUUUAGAAACAUUUAAAAAUGUUUAUAUGCCCAGAUUGCGCAAUUAGUUUUGGUACAAGACUCGAUUUUGUAGAUCACGUUCAAACUCAUUGCAAAAAUGUCUAUACUUGUUUUUGUUAUCAAGAUUUCAAUCAAAUUUCACGUUUUCGUAGACAUUUUCUUCGCACAUGCACUGUAGUAGGCAACAACAACGAAGUAGUUGAAGAAAACAUUGAAAACAUACCAGGUGAGCAAUUAGAAGAAGGAGAACAAAUUUACAAUAAUCAUAAUGAGGAUGGAGAAUUUAGUGACAGUGAUGAAGAAUAUGAAGAAUUAGAGCAAGAGGUUCAUAGUUUAGAUGAAAUAUGGAUGAAACUUUUGUUGAAGCUACUCAGUGAUAGUGUUCUUAGCAGAAAAAAAGGCUUAGAUUUUAUCAAAGAACUGCAAUCGUUUUCAUCGGAGCUUUUGUCAAAUAUCGUAGAGCAAACAAGAAAUUUUAUUCGUCCUGAAAAUAUAGAAGAUUUCAUCAAAAUCAUUGAUGGAUACAAAAAACAGUUCCAAGUUAGUACUGAAGAAAGCGUACAGAAAAUGCUUAAUUCUAACAAUUUAUACACAGAACCAAACAUUGAUAUCAUAAGUAAUGAAGUGCUCCCGAAGACAGUAGGCGGGCAGCGAGUAUUAGGUAGAAAACCAGAAAAUGUCGUUAAUAUGAAUCUGCAAUUCGCUCUAAAAUUGUUUUUUGAGCGUAAGAAUUUACUGGAGCUUACACUAAAAAACAUUGAUAAGUUACAAAAUGAUACAUCUGGAAAAAUUAGAAAUUACAUUCAGAGUAUUGCAUGGCUGGAAAAGAAAUCUCAACUUCCACUUAAUAGAAUAUAUUUACCAAUAUUUUUGUACAAUGAUGAUUUUGAGCCAGAUAACCCUUUAGGCGCUCAUAAGGGAAAAAAUGCUCAAUGCGCUUUCUAUUUGUCUUGCCCUGUCAUUCCCAAACGCUUUCGAGCCAAAUUGAGCAGUCUUAUUCCAGCAAUGUUCGUGAAAUCAAGUUUGAAAAAAGUAAAGCCAGAGAUUUUAUUUAAAACACUGAUACAAAAUUUAACGGAGUUACAAACCACCGGCAUCGAAAUUUCUACCGAUAGUCGAACUAUCAAAAUUUAUCCAGUUCUUUGUGGAUUUACUGGCGAUAAUCUUUCCUUAAAUUAUAUAGGUGGUUUUACCACUGGUUUUAAUUCGACAUAUUACUGCCGGUCAUGCAAAUCACACAAAGAUGAAAUGAAACAAAUGCUAGAAGAAAAUGAGAACACAUUGAGGAACGAUGAACAGUACUUAAGAGAUGUGGAAGAAAAUAACACAGAAACAACGGGAAUCGAUUUUAAAUGUCCAUUUAUCGAAAUACCACACUUCAAUGUUAUCAAUUCGAUGACUUUUGACCCAAUGCACGAUUUUGCAGAAGGGAUUUGCCCAUUUACCGUUGCAAUGGCGUUGCGUAAGAUUAUCCAAAAUCAUGAUAUUUUAAACUUAAAAGUUUUAAACCAGCGUAAAGAUUUGUUUAACUAUGGCAUGUAUAAAAAAAGUAACAUUCCUGAAAAAAUUACUAAAUAUCACUUGCAAAAGGAAUAUUUAAAAAUGUCAUCAAACGAAAUGUUUACAUUUUUAUAUUUUCUUCCUAUGAUGUUAGGCGAUUUAAUUGCAGAAAAUACUCCUGAAUGGGAUUAUCUUUUAUUACUCCGUCGGAUAGUAUUUUUUACAUUCAAACCUUCAUUUUGUUUGGAAGAUAUACAAAAAUUGAAAGAAAUGAUUGCUAAUCAUCACAGAAUGUACAUUGCAUUGUUUGAAAAACCGUUGAAACCGAAAAUGCAUUUUCUUACGCACUACCCCUCAGCUAUUUUAAAAUUUGGUCCGUUAGAAAAUACUGACUGUAGGCGCUUUGAAAGCAAGAAUCGAGAUGUUAAACAGUACGUAAGAAAUACCUUUAAUCGAAAAAACUUAAGUAAAUCUAUUGGGAUAAAGGAAACGUACAAAUCAGCUUAUCAUUCGUACCUUGUCUACCAAGAACAUGAAUUUAGAUUAUUUAGAGCAAGAUAUGUAACAGUUGAAUCAUUAGAAACGACAAAUGGCAUUGAAGUUGUUCCAGGAGAAAUUUUUCUUUUUUCAUUUAGUGGAAUUUUUGAUGAUAUUAAGUUUAAUCAAGAUUCAUGCUUUAAAGUGGGCGAAACUUUUGUAAAAGUUCGAUCACUUUUCGUUAAACACAAUUCUUGCUAUGCAAUUGUAAGAAAGCUUAAAGUUUUAGAAUUCAACAAUCAAAUGGAUUGUUAUUACAUAGAUGAAAAUGAUGAUGAAGACAGUGCAUUUUGCUUCAAUUUAUGUGAAAUCGACAAUUUUCCACAAACAAUUCAUCAUUUAAACAAUGACAAAUUGGGAUUAUUCGAUCCACAAUAUAUGUAUUAAAUUUAACAUUCAUAGAUUAUUUUUUAUUUAGAUAGGAUUUUAGAAAGUAAAUAAGGAAAACAAUGAAUAGAAAUAAGUUUAAGAAUAGAUCCCAAUCCAUAAAAAACCCUUUCCUAAGAAAUAUUGUAUCCUACUAACCCCGAGAAAACCGCGGGUAAUCGGUUUCCCAAAUUAAUUCAUUAGAAUAAGGAAUUGAAAAAUCAAAGCAAAACAAAACCAUCAGUGAAACAGGAAUUUGCCAGAUCAUUCUAAGAAAUCAAUGGACAGGACGACGACAUAAAAUGUUUGGUAAACACAUUUUGAAAACAUUGUUUAUUAGGUUUAACGCCGUGACGUCAUUUGACAGCUCACGUGCAUUGUUUACAUGGUCUUUGUCGGUUACAAGUCCAUGUAAAAGUGCACGCCAUUCUAACCUGCAAUUCUAGUCGGCGUAAAACCUAAUACAUUUACUUAUAUGAUUCCUAAUGUGCCAAAUGUGUCUAAAUCUUUUUCGCAGAACGCAAGACCGGUGGAGCGACGACUGACGAAAAAUAACCAGAGGAUGAAACGAAGAUCUCCAACCUGGAUCUGGACCUGGACGGCAUGCUGGACAAGCCGCCUUGCCGGAUGUGACAAUAUCCCUAACCUUGACCGGGACAGCUGGAUGGGACGAAACUUGCGACCAGCACCAAAAUUCUGAUGGUUUUGAUGUUACGACCUGCCCGGUGCGACCUGGACCUGGACUAGCUCGACGAGAUGACCAUCCCGGACAACCUGUACAAGGACCUGGAUGGCUGGGGGCAUCCAAUCUGGACCUGGACUUAGACGGCGUGCAGGACGUGAUGCCUUGCCGAUGGGUCCACCCGGAGUUUGACCUAGACGGCUAGCUGGUUGGUUUCGAUGUUACGACCUGCCCGGUGCGACCUGGACCUGGACUAGCUCGACGAGAUGACCAUCCCGGACAACCUGUACAAGGACCUGGAUGGCUGGGGGCAUCCAAUCUGGACCUGGACUUAGACGGCGUGCAGGACGUGAUGCCUUGCCGAUGGGUCCACCCGGAGUUUGACCUAGACGGCUAGCUGGUUGGUUUCGAUGUUACGACCUGCCCGGUGCGACCUGGACCUGGACUAGCUCGACGAGAUGACCAUCCCGGACAACCUGUACAAGGACCUGGAUGGCUGGGGGCAUCCAAUCUGGACCUGGACUUGGACGGCGUGCAGGACGUGAUGCCUUGCCGAUGGGUCCACCCGGAGUUUGACCUAGACGGCUAGCUGGUUGGUUUCGAUGUUACGACCUGCCCGGUGCGACCUGGACCUGGACUAGCUCGACGAGAUGACCAUCCCGGACAACCUGUACAAGGACCUGGAUGGCUGGGGGCAUCCAAUCCUGGACCUGGACUUGGACGGCGUGCAGGACGUGACCUGCCCGGUGCGACCUGGACCUGGACUAGCUCGACGAGAUGACCAUCCCGGACAACCUGUACAAGGACCUGGAUGGCUGGGGGCAUCCAAUCUGGACCUGGACUUGGACGGCGUGCAGGACGUGAUGCCUUGCCGAUGGGUCCACCCGGAGUUUGACCUAGACGGCUAGCUGGUUGGUUUCGAUGUUACGACCUGCCCGGUGCGACCUGGACCUGGACUAGCUCGACGAGAUGACCAUCCCGGACAACCUGUACAAGGACCUGGAUGGCUGGGGGCAUCCAAUCUGGACCUGGACUUGGACGGCGUGCAGGACGUGACCUGCCCGGUGCGAACUGGACCUGGACUAGCUCGACGAGAUGACCAUCCCGGACAACCUGUACAAGGACCUGGAUGGCUGGGGGCAUCCAAUCUGGACCUGGACUUGGACGGCGUGCAGGACGUGAUGCCUUGCCGAUGGGUCCACCCGGAGUUUGACCUAGACGGCUAGCUGGUUGGUUUCGAUGUUACGACCUGCCCGGUGCGACCUGGACCUGGACUAGCUCGACGAGAUGACCAUCCCGGACAACCUGUACAAGGACCUGGAUGGCUGGGGGCAUCCAAUCUGGACCUGGACUUGGACGGCGUGCAGGACGUGACCUGCCCGGUGCGACCUGGACCUGGACUAGCUCGACGAGAUGACCAUCCCGGACAACCUGUACAAGGACCUGGAUGGCUGGGGGCAUCCAAUCUGGACCUGGACUUGGACGGCGUGCAGGACGUGAUGCCUUGCCGAUGGGUCCACCCGGAGUUUGACCUAGACGGCUAGCUGGUUGGUUUCGAUGUUACGACCUGCCCGGUGCGACCUGGACCUGGACGGCUGGCUGGACGAUCCGCCAGAUCGUUGAUACGAAGGCACCCAACCUGGACCUGGACGAGCCGCCAGGCCGAUGGGACAAAAUCCCAACCACGACCGGGACGGCUGGCUAGAGGGGCUGGAUGGCCCGAAGACUUGCGGCCAGCGCAAAAAUGCGAUUGGUUUUGAUCAUAAACCUGGUGCGACCUCGACCUGGGCCGACGUUGACUAGCCUGGACGGACGGACUCGGAAAGGCAAGGGUGGGAAGAGCUGUCUGGACCGGUGGAAGGGGGCUUAAAAUAAAGUUUAUGUAAUUUUGAAAUAAAGUUUCACAUUCACGCA
Culex pipiens pallens (northern house mosquito) is the source of this 6095-nucleotide RNA transcript. RefSeq lists it as uncharacterized. The record is from RefSeq and is a predicted model, not a curated record. The transcript is spliced from 15 exons. Lineage: Eukaryota; Metazoa; Arthropoda; Insecta; Diptera; Culicidae.